This 163-nucleotide unclassified non-coding RNA is filed under the name uncultured Cortinarius. Its description in RNAcentral is "sequence contains ITS1". Lineage: Eukaryota; Fungi; Basidiomycota; Agaricomycetes; Agaricales; Cortinariaceae. The record is from RNAcentral.
UUGAAAUAAACCUGAUGAGUUGCUGCUGGUUCUCUAGGGAGCAUGUGCACGCCUUGUCAUCUUUAUAUCUCCACCUGUGCACUUUUUGUAGACCCUUCCAGGUCUAUGUUGCUUCAUUUACCCCAAUGUAUGUUAAUAGAAUGUUGUGCCUAUAUAAUAUAUA